CCUACGGGACGCAGCAGUAGGGAAUAUUGCUCAAUGGGGGAAACCCUGAAGCAGCAACGCCGCGUGGAGGAUGAAGGUUUUAGGAUUGUAAACUCCUUUUGUUAGAGAAGAUUAUGACGGUACCUGACGAAUAAGCCACGGCUAACUACGUGCCAGCAGCCGCGGUAAUACGUAGGUGGCAAGCGUUAUCCGGAUUUAUUGGGUUUAAAGGGUGCGUAGGCGGACUGGAAAGUCAGCGGUAAAAUCGAGAGGCUCAACCUCUUUCCGCCGUUGAAACUGUCGGUCUUGAGUGGGCGAGAAGUAUG
Molecule: ribosomal RNA, 305 nt
Filed under: uncultured bacterium
Lineage: Bacteria
Description: bacterial SSU rRNA
Rfam family: Bacterial small subunit ribosomal RNA
Source: RNAcentral